RNAcentral lists this ribosomal RNA (144 nucleotides) under Roseomonas sp. D12. Its description in RNAcentral is "partial 16S ribosomal RNA". It matches the Rfam family "Bacterial small subunit ribosomal RNA", at positions 338 to 499 of the family's 1533-position model. Lineage: Bacteria; Pseudomonadati; Pseudomonadota; Alphaproteobacteria; Acetobacterales; Roseomonadaceae. The record is from RNAcentral.
CCUACGGGAGGCAGCAGUGGGGAAUAUUGGACAAUGGGCGCAAGCCUGAUCCAGCAAUGCCGCGUGGGUGAAGAAGGUCUUCGGAUCGUAAAGCCCUUUCGACAGGGACGAUGAUGACGGUACCUGUAGAAGAAGCCCCGGCUA